AAGUCGUAACAAGGUUUCCGUAGGUGAACCUGCGGAAGGAUCAUUACAUAAUCGAAAACUGAAUAUAUAUACAGCGGUGCGAGACGCCGAGGGGUCAAAGCCGAACGCGUCGAGUCCACUUAUAUAUACUUCACUAUCAAACCCUUGUGAACCGUAAUUGACACCUUUGGCGUAGCUUAAGGUUGCCCGCGCUCCUUUCGGGGCGGCGCGCGCAGCUGUUACGUCAAACGGUACCACACAAAACAAACCAUUUGCACAAGUAUAAAGACUUAAUCUAAGAAAAUUCAAUAAUUGAAAUACAACUUUUAACAAUGGAUCUCUUGGCUCUU
RNAcentral lists this unclassified non-coding RNA (329 nucleotides) under fungal sp. Its description in RNAcentral is "partial internal transcribed spacer region". The stretch from base 1 to 46 matches the Rfam family "Eukaryotic small subunit ribosomal RNA", at positions 1786 to 1831 of the family's 1831-position model. Lineage: Eukaryota; Fungi. The record is from RNAcentral.